ACUCCUACGGGAGGCAGCAGUGAGGAAUAUUGGACAAUGGACGCAAGUCUGAUCCAGCCAUGCCGCGUGCAGGAAGAAUGCCCUAUGGGUUGUAAACUGUCUUUUAUUUGGGAAUAAACCCUUCUCGUGAGGAGGGCUGAAGGUACCAAACGAAUAAGCACCGGCUAACUCCGUGCCAGCAGCCGCGGUAAUACGGAGGGUGCAAGCGUUAUCCGGAAUCAUUGGGUUUAAAGGGUCCGCAGGCGGACGUAUAAGUCAGUGGUGAAAGCCUACAGCUUAACUGUAGAACUGCCAUUGAUACUGUAUGUCUUGAAUUCGGUCGGAGUGGGCGGAAUGUGUCAUGUAGCGGUG
RNAcentral lists this ribosomal RNA (351 nucleotides) under uncultured bacterium. RNAcentral's name for it is "bacterial SSU rRNA". It matches the Rfam family "Bacterial small subunit ribosomal RNA", at positions 335 to 683 of the family's 1533-position model. The record is from RNAcentral.